GGCUCAGAUUGAACGCUGGCGGCAUGCCUUACACAUGCAAGUCGAACGGCAGCACGGGGGCAACCCUGGUGGCGAGUGGCGAACGGGUGAGUAAUAUAUCGGAACGUACCUUAUCGUGGGGGAUAACGCAGCGAAAGCUGCGCUAAUACCGCAUACGCCCUGAGGGGGAAAGCGGGGGACCGUAAGGCCUCGCGCGAUUAGAGCGGCCGAUAUCUGAUUAGCUUGUUGGUGGGGUAAAAGCCCACCAAGGCGACGAUCAGUAGCUGGUCUGAGAGGACGAUCAGCCACACUGGGACUGAGACACGGCCCAGACUCCUACGGGAGGCAGCAGUGGGGAAUUUUGGACAAUGGGGGCAACCCUGAUCCAGCAAUGCCGCGUGAGUGAAGAAGGCCUUCGGGUUGUAAAGCUCUUUUGUCAGGGAAGAAACAGCAGCUCUAACACAGUCUGCGAAUGACGGUACCUGAAGAAUAAGCACCGGCUAACUACGUG
Molecule: ribosomal RNA, 490 nt
Filed under: uncultured bacterium
Lineage: Bacteria
Description: bacterial SSU rRNA
Rfam family: Bacterial small subunit ribosomal RNA
Source: RNAcentral